CAUGGGAGGAGAGGGAUGAUGACGUUACCUGACCAACAGGGCUGGGUGCAGAUCAAAAGAAAUGAAUGAUUCCUGGGGAAGUACUUUGCGAAUGCUGAAGAUUUAUGUGCGUUUAAGGUGGUAUUAAUUAUUUUUGGCACAGGAAAAGAGUCAAUCAGAAUAUUUGAAGAUCAGCCAAGAAAAAGAACAGCAAGCAUCUUUGGCCCUAGAAGAGUUAGAGUUACAGAAAAAAGCAAUCCUCACAGAAAGUGAAAAUAAACUUCAGGACCUUCAGCAAGAAGCAGAGACUUACAGAACUAGAAUUCUUGAAUUGGAAAGUUCUUUGGAAAAAA
This 332-nucleotide small RNA is filed under the name Pongo abelii (Sumatran orangutan). Its description in RNAcentral is "retained intron". The record is from RNAcentral. Lineage: Eukaryota; Metazoa; Chordata; Mammalia; Primates; Hominidae.